CACGUAGGGCGCGAGCGUUGUCCGGAAUUAUUGGGCGUAAAGGGUGCGUAGGCGGGUCUUUAAGUCAGGGGUGAAAUCCUGGAGCUCAACUCCAGAACUGCCUUUGAUACUGAAGAUCUUGAGUCCGGGAGAGGUGAGUGGAACUGCGAGUGUAGAGGUGAAAUUCGUAGAUAUUCGCAAGAACACCAGUGGCGAAGGCGGCUCACUGGCCCGGUACUGACGCUGAGGCACGAAAGCGUGGGGAGCAAACAGG
This 253-nucleotide ribosomal RNA is filed under the name uncultured bacterium. RNAcentral describes it as "partial 16S ribosomal RNA". It matches the Rfam family "Bacterial small subunit ribosomal RNA", at positions 524 to 776 of the family's 1533-position model. The record is from RNAcentral.